CAUGCAAGUCGAACGGAUCCUUCGGGAUUAGUGGCGGACGGGUGAGUAACACGUGGGAACGUGCCUUUUGGUUCGGAACAACUCAGGGAAACUUGAGCUAAUACCGGAUAAGCCUUUCGAGGGAAAGAUUUAUCGCCAUUAGAGCGGCCCGCGUAGGAUUAGCUAGUUGGUGGGGUAAAGGCCCACCAAGGCUACGAUCCUUAGCUGGUCUGAGAGGAUGAUCAGCCACAUUGGGACUGAGACCGGCCCAAACUCCUACGGGAGGCAGCAGUGGGGAAUCUUGCGCAAUGGGCGAAAGCCUGACGCAGCCAUGCCGCGUGAAUGAUGAAGGUCUUAGGAUUGUAAAAUUCUUUCACCGGGGACGAUAAUGACGGUACCCGGAGAAGAAGCCCCGGCUAACUUCGUGCCAGCAGCCGCGGUAAUACGAAGGGGGCUAGCGUUGCUCGGAAUUACUGGGCGUAAAGGGAGCGUAGGCGGAUAGUUUAGUCAGAGGUGAAAGCCCAGGGCUCAACCUUGGAAUUGCCUUUGAUACUGGCUAUCUUGAGUACGGAAGAGGUAUGUGGAACUCCGAGUGUAGAGGUGAAAUUCGUAGAUAUUCGGAAGAACACCAGUGGCGAAGGCGACAUACUGGUCCGUUACUGACGCUGAGGCUCGAAAGCGUGGGGAGCAAACAGGAUUAGAUACCCUGGUAGUCCACGCUGUAAACGAUGAGUGCUAGUUGUCGGCAGGCAUGCCUGUCGGUGACGCAGCUAACGCAUUAAGCACUCCGCCUGGGGAGUACGGUCGCAAGAUUAAAACUCAAAGGAAUUGACGGGGGCCCGCACAAGCGGUGGAGCAUGU
Molecule: ribosomal RNA, 840 nt
Filed under: uncultured bacterium
Lineage: Bacteria
Description: bacterial SSU rRNA
Rfam family: Bacterial small subunit ribosomal RNA
Source: RNAcentral